RNAcentral lists this transfer-messenger RNA (365 nucleotides) under Bacteroidota bacterium. RNAcentral describes it as "Bacteroidetes bacterium (marine metagenome) transfer-messenger RNA". It matches the Rfam family "transfer-messenger RNA". Rfam says of the family: Bacterial tmRNA, also known as 10Sa RNA or SsrA, is named for its dual tRNA and mRNA-like properties. Its role is to liberate the mRNA from a stalled ribosome. Lineage: Bacteria; Pseudomonadati; Bacteroidota. The record is from RNAcentral.
GGGGCCGACUGGAAUUGACAGGUUAGGAGUGGUAUUUGUAAGCAUGCCGGGUCAAGCGAUAGAUCCCGUAAAAAGCGGUCGCACAACAUUAAUAGGCGAAUAUAAUUAUUCUUUAGCUGCCUAAUCUAGGAUUAAGCUACGCUAAUCUUUCCCAACUGCCCCGUCUGUUGGCGGUUGAAUCGGAAGGACCGAAAUAACAGAAUAAGUCCUGUCAUGUCCUGAGUCAGGAACGAAAAUCGAAGGGACUCAGACCAAAGUCCGGUAUUUUCAGACCUGCUUUGGUUAAAAUCAACUGAAAAUAAGCAUGUAGAAAGCAUUUAAUACGCUAUCUCUGGACGGGAGUUCGAAUCUCCCCGGCUCCACCU